GGAUGCGAUCAUACCAGCACUAAAGCACCGGAUCCCUUCAGAACUUCGAAGUUAAGCGUGCUUGGGCGAGAGUAGUACUAGGAGGGGUGACCUCCUGGGAAGUCCUCGUGUUGUAGUCC
RNAcentral lists this ribosomal RNA (119 nucleotides) under Triticum aestivum (bread wheat). The record is from RNAcentral. Lineage: Eukaryota; Viridiplantae; Streptophyta; Magnoliopsida; Poales; Poaceae.